AUGGCUGUGGUUAGAGAUGAGCACCCCUACCUGCAAGAGCACUACUAUGUUGUGAGUUUCAUCAAUGGACUGAAACCAACGAUCAGAUGUAACCUAAGACCACAGAGACCCAAACUCCUCACCCAAGCUUACUGGAUGGCUAAGGAUUUUGAAAGUGGUAUUCAAGCUAAGUACCAAGCUUAUGUCACCCAGCAGGAUAAGCAGUUGCAAUUCCAUACUACUCACAGCAAAACUCCUACUACUACAGCUAGAAAUACCUCAGUUCCACCAGCAGCACCUGCAACUAGGAAACCUGGUGUCUGCUGGAGAUGUAAUGGACCAUGGGUCCCAGGGCACAAAUGCAAGCAAUCUCUAAGCAUUCAUGCUAUUGCUAGUGAAAAUCAAAGUGAAGAAAUGUCCCAAGAGGAAGAAGCACAACUAGCAGUUCUAGCUGCUAAAGGGCAAUUUUUUUAUAGUUCUGACAAAUGCAUGCAAAUAUCUGCACAAGCAGUUUCAGGCAACACUUCUGAAGGAACACUAGCUGUCCAGAUCAUGAUUGGGAACAAAUAA
This 549-nucleotide ribosomal RNA is filed under the name Triticum aestivum (bread wheat). RNAcentral's name for it is "partial small subunit ribosomal RNA". The record is from RNAcentral. Lineage: Eukaryota; Viridiplantae; Streptophyta; Magnoliopsida; Poales; Poaceae.